AUUGAACGCUGGCGGCAGGCCUAACACAUGCAAGUCGAGCGGAUGAAGGGAGCUUGCUCCUGGAUUCAGCGGCGGACGGGUGAGUAAUGCCUAGGAAUCUGCCUGGUAGUGGGGGAUAACGUCCGGAAACGGGCGCUAAUACCGCAUACGUCCUGAGGGAGAAAGUGGGGGAUCUUCGGACCUCACGCUAUCAGAUGAGCCUAGGUCGGAUUAGCUAGUUGGUGGGGUAAAGGCCUACCAAGGCGACGAUCCGUAACUGGUCUGAGAGGAUGAUCAGUCACACUGGACCUGAGACACGGUCCAGACUCCUACGGGAGGCAGCAGUGGGGAAUAUUGGACAAUGGGCGAAAGCCUGAUCCAGCCAUGCCGCGGGGGUGAAGAAGGUCUUCGGAUUGUAAAGCACUUUAAGUUGGGAGGAAGGGCAGUAAGUUAAUACCUGGCUGUUUUGACGUUACCAACAGAAUAAGCACCGGCUAACUUCGU
This 483-nucleotide ribosomal RNA is filed under the name uncultured bacterium. RNAcentral describes it as "partial 16S ribosomal RNA". It matches the Rfam family "Bacterial small subunit ribosomal RNA", at positions 30 to 506 of the family's 1533-position model. The record is from RNAcentral.